This 72-nucleotide microRNA precursor is filed under the name Myotis lucifugus (little brown bat). Its description in RNAcentral is "mir-9193 microRNA precursor family". It matches the Rfam family "mir-9193 microRNA precursor family". Lineage: Eukaryota; Metazoa; Chordata; Mammalia; Chiroptera; Vespertilionidae. The record is from Rfam by way of RNAcentral.
CUUGGGGUCGGGGUCCCUCAGCUCAGAUUGUGAGAGGGUGCAGGCCAGGCUGAGGGACACCACCAGUGCAUG